RNAcentral lists this transfer RNA (69 nucleotides) under Batillaria cumingii. RNAcentral describes it as "tRNA-Asp". RNAcentral also lists the same sequence under 1 other name. Lineage: Eukaryota; Metazoa; Mollusca; Gastropoda; Batillariidae. The record is from RNAcentral.
AGAAAAUUAGUUAAAAUAUAACAUAGGAUUGUCAGUCCUAAGUUACUAGCUUGGGAUUAGUAUUUUCUA